Molecule: ribosomal RNA, 503 nt
Filed under: uncultured bacterium
Lineage: Bacteria
Description: partial 16S ribosomal RNA
Rfam family: Bacterial small subunit ribosomal RNA
Source: RNAcentral
AUUGAACGCUGGCGGCAGGCCUAACACAUGCAAGUCGAGCGGUAGCACAGAGAGCUUGCUCUCGGGUGACGAGCGGCGGACGGGUGAGUAAUGUCUGGGAAACUGCCUGAUGGAGGGGGAUAACUAAUGGAAACGGUAGCUAAUACCGCAUAACGUCGCAAGACCAAAGUGGGGGACCUUCGGGCCUCAUGCCAUCCGAUGUGCCCAGAUGGGAUUAGCUAGUAGGUGGGGUAACGGCUCACCUAGGCGACGAUCCCUAGCUGGUCUGAGAGGAUGACCAGCCACACUGGAACUGAGACACGGUCCAGACUCCUACGGGAGGCAGCAGUGGGGAAUAUUGCACAAUGGGCGCAAGCCUGAUGCAGCCAUGCCGCGUGUAUGAAGAAGGCCUUCGGGUUGUAAAGUACUUUCAGCGGGGAGGAAGGCGACAAGGUUAAUAACCUUGUCGAUUGACGUUCCCGCAGAAGAAGCACCGGCUAACUCCGUGCCAGCAGCCGCCGUAA